This 862-nucleotide ribosomal RNA is filed under the name uncultured bacterium. RNAcentral describes it as "bacterial SSU rRNA". It matches the Rfam family "Bacterial small subunit ribosomal RNA", at positions 77 to 950 of the family's 1533-position model. The record is from RNAcentral.
AGCUUGCUGGGUGGAUCAGUGGCGAACGGGUGAGUAACACGUGAGCAAUCUGCCCCUGACUCUGGGAUAAGCGCUGGAAACGGCGUCUAAUACUGGAUGCGAACCGUGGAGGCAUCUUCAACGGUUGGAAAGAUUUUUUGGUCAGGGAUGAGCUCGCGGCCUAUCAGCUUGUUGGUGAGGUAAUGGCUCACCAAGGCGUCGACGGGUAGCCGGCCUGAGAGGGUGACCGGCCACACUGGGACUGAGACACGGCCCAGACUCCUACGGGAGGCAGCAGUGGGGAAUAUUGCACAAUGGGCGAAAGCCUGAUGCAGCAACGCCGCGUGAGGGAUGACGGCCUUCGGGUUGUAAACCUCUUUUAGCAGGGAAGAAGCGAAAGUGACGGUACCUGCAGAAAAAGCGCCGGCUAACUACGUGCCAGCAGCCGCGGUAAUACGUAGGGCGCAAGCGUUAUCCGGAAUUAUUGGGCGUAAAGAGCUCGUAGGCGGUUUGUCGCGUCUGCUGUGAAAUCCCGAGGCUCAACUUCGGGUCUGCAGUGGGUACGGGCAGACUAGAGUGCGGUAGGGGAGAUUGGAAUUCCUGGUGUAGCGGUGGAAUGCGCAGAUAUCAGGAGGAACACCGAUGGCGAAGGCAGAUCUCUGGGCCGUAACUGACGCUGAGGAGCGAAAGGGUGGGGAGCAAACAGGCUUAGAUACCCUGGUAGUCCACCCCGUAAACGUUGGGAACUAGUUGUGGGGUCCAUUCCACGGAUUCCGUGACGCAGCUAACGCAUUAAGUUCCCCGCCUGGNGAGUACGGCCGCAAGGCUAGAACUCAAAGGAAUUGNNNNGGACCCGCACAAGCGGCGGAGCAUGCGGAUUAAU